Molecule: ribosomal RNA, 484 nt
Filed under: uncultured bacterium
Lineage: Bacteria
Description: partial 16S ribosomal RNA
Rfam family: Bacterial small subunit ribosomal RNA
Source: RNAcentral
AUUGAACGCUGGCGGCAGGCCUAACACAUGCAAGUCGAACGGAAGAAGCGUGCUUGCUUCUGGUUUCAGAGGGGGACGGGUGAGCGAAGCCUGUGAAUAUCCUUGCCUGUGGUUUAGAACGACUUGAAGCAGGGGCUAAUACUACAUAAUUGCAGAGGGUGUAAGAGGGUGAGCUUCGGACCUUCCGCUCUCAGGUGAUUCUAGGUGGCGUUAGCUAGUUGGGGGGGUAAAGGCCUACCAAGGCGACCAUCCGUAGCUGGUCUGAGAGGAUGAUCGGCCACACUGGAACUGGAACACGGUCCAGACUCCUACGGGAGGCAGCAGUGGGGAAUAUUGGACAAUGGGCGAAAGCCUGGUCCAGCCAUACGGCGUGUGUGAAGAAGGCCUUCGGAUUGUAAAGCCCUUUUUGUGGGGAGGAAGAGCAGUAGGUUAAUACCUUGCUGUUUUGACGGUACCAACAGAAUAAGCACCGGCUAACUUCGUG